RNAcentral lists this ribosomal RNA (253 nucleotides) under uncultured bacterium. RNAcentral describes it as "partial 16S ribosomal RNA". It matches the Rfam family "Bacterial small subunit ribosomal RNA", at positions 524 to 776 of the family's 1533-position model. The record is from RNAcentral.
UACGUAGGGUGCGAGCGUUAAUCGGAAUUACUGGGCGUAAAGCGUGCGCAGGCGGUUCGUUAAGUCAGAUGUGAAAGCCCCGGGCUCAACCUGGGAACUGCAUUUGAAACUGGCGGGCUUGAGUAUGGCAGAGGGGGGUGGAAUUCCGCGUGUAGCAGUGAAAUGCGUAGAGAUGCGGAGGGACACCGAUGGCGAAGGCAGCCCCCUGGGCCAAUACUGACGCUCAGGCACGAAAGCGUGGGGAGCAAACAGG